UACGGAGGGGGCAAGCGUUGUUCGGAAUUACUGGGCGUAAAGCGUGCGCAGGCGGUGAUGUAAGACAGUUGUGAAAUCCCCGGGCUCAACCUGGGAAUUGCAUCUGUGACUGCAUCGCUAGAGUACGGUAGAGGGGGAUGGAAUUCCGCGUGUAGCAGUGAAAUGCGUAGAUAUGCGGAGGAACACCGAUGGCGAAGGCAAUCCCCUGGACCUGUACUGACGCUCAUGCACGAAAGCGUGGGGAGCAAACAGG
RNAcentral lists this ribosomal RNA (253 nucleotides) under uncultured bacterium. Its description in RNAcentral is "partial 16S ribosomal RNA". It matches the Rfam family "Bacterial small subunit ribosomal RNA", at positions 524 to 776 of the family's 1533-position model. The record is from RNAcentral.